RNAcentral lists this long non-coding RNA (694 nucleotides) under Bos taurus (domestic cattle). RNAcentral describes it as "long non-coding RNA NONBTAT000199". Lineage: Eukaryota; Metazoa; Chordata; Mammalia; Artiodactyla; Bovidae. The record is from RNAcentral.
AUAUGCAUCAAAAACUACAUAUCCAACUUUUCAAAAUAAUACUACUUAUUUUUUCCAAUUCAUAGUUUACCCCUCUAUUUAGAUAUUACACUUAUUCACACAAUUUCUUCCCCAAACAGAAUCACAUUCACUUUAUGACCAUGCUGUGUAGUAUCUACAAUCAUCUAACAUUUAAAGGAAAAGCGCUAUUUAUAAUGUUUAGCUUGCUUGCCAGUAUAUUUUACAAGUCUUUGACAUGUCAAUGUGAAAAAUUUAUAGAUAUACAAUAAAGUUCCAUUGUAAGGAUUUUCAAAUAAACUAAGAUGCAUUUUGUGUUUGUCUAAAAGGCUCAGUAAUGAAGCCCUGGGGACUUGUUUAUGCAUAGUGUUUUCCCAGCAGGAGAACCAAUAUUGGUCAGUUCUUUCGUCCUCAGAGGCUUUUCUCACUAAAUGGAACAGCAUUAGCUUUGUUCUUUACGUCUAAUUAACAACCAAAUCAUAAAUUGUAGGCUUUGUCCAAUUGAAUUAAGCUUUCAGCAUUAUGUGUGUUUAAAAAAAAAAUCUUACUGCCUUGAAUUUUAUUAGGUAAAAAGAAAAAGCUAGGGCAAAAUGGUAAAUAGGAAAAGCAAGAUAGUGUACAAGUUUAAUGCAUUAGCCUCUUAUCCCCAGAGAUCAUGGUUCCUAUCUGUCUUAGGUCACAUUUUAAAAGAGUUGAA